RNAcentral lists this ribosomal RNA (492 nucleotides) under uncultured bacterium. RNAcentral's name for it is "partial 16S ribosomal RNA". It matches the Rfam family "Bacterial small subunit ribosomal RNA", at positions 29 to 507 of the family's 1533-position model. The record is from RNAcentral.
AGUGAACGCUGGCGGUAGGCCUAACACAUGCAAGUCGAACGGCCGCACAGUAAGCGCUUGCUCUUACGGGUGGCGAGUGGCGGACGGGUGAGGAAUACAUCAGAAUCUACUUUUUCGUGGGGGAUAACGUAGGGAAACUUACGCUAAUACCGCAUAUGACCUACGGGUUAAAGCAGGGGAUCUUCGCACCUUGCUCUAUUGAAUGAGCCGAUGUCGGAUUAGCUAGUUGGCGGGGUAAAGGCCCACCAAGGCGACGAUCCGUAGCUGGCCUGAGAGGAUGAUCGGCCACACUGGAACUGAGACACGGUCCAGACUCCUACGGGAGGCAGCAGUGGGGAAUAUUCGACAAUGGGCGAAAGCCUGAUCCAGCCAUGCCGCGUGAGUGAAGAAGGCCUUCGGGUUGUAAAGCCCUUUUGUUGGGAAAGAAAAGCAGCAUGAUAAUAUCCCGCUGUUCUGACGGUACCCAAAGAAUAAGCACCGGCUAACUUCGUG